GACUAACGCUGGCGGCGUGCCUAACACAUGCAAGUCGAACGAUUCUUUGAUUUAUAGCAAUAUUUAUUAAAGAGGAGUGGCGAACGGGUGAGUAACACGUAAAGAUAAUCUGCCUUUCAGACGGGGACAACUCAGGGAAACUUGUGCUAAUACCCGAUGAGACCACAAGAAGGGAUUUUUGUGGCCAAAGGCGGGCAGCAAUGCUCGUGCUGAAAGAUGAGUCUGCGUCCUAUCAGCUAGUUGGUGGGGUAAAUGCCUACCAAGGCUAAGACGGGUAGCCGGCCUGAGAGGGUGAACGGCCACACUGGGACUGAGACACGGCCCAGACUCCUACGGGAGGCAGCAGUGAGGAAUUUUCCGCAAUGGGCGCAAGCCUGACGGAGCGACGCCGCGUGAGGGAUGACAGCUUUCGGGUUGUAAACCUCUUUUAUUAAGGAAAAAGAUCUAUAUGCUAAUAUCAUGUAGAUUUGAUGGUACUUAUUGAAUAAGCCCCGGCUAACG
Molecule: ribosomal RNA, 501 nt
Filed under: uncultured bacterium
Lineage: Bacteria
Description: bacterial SSU rRNA
Rfam family: Bacterial small subunit ribosomal RNA
Source: RNAcentral